CAGUUCAGACUGCAGGCUGCAACUCGCCUGCACGAAGUCGGAAUUGCUAGUAAUCGUAGGUCAGCAUACUACGGUGAAUACGGUUCCCGGGCCUUGUACACACCGCCCGUCAAACCAUGAGAGUUGGCCACACCCGAAGUCGGUAGUCUAACCGCAAGGAGGACGCCGCCGAAGGUGGGGUUGAUGAUUAGGGUUAAGUCGUAACAAGGUAGC
Molecule: ribosomal RNA, 213 nt
Filed under: uncultured bacterium
Lineage: Bacteria
Description: partial 16S ribosomal RNA
Rfam family: Bacterial small subunit ribosomal RNA
Source: RNAcentral